UACGUAGGGGGCAAGCGUUGUCCGGAUUUAUUGGGCGUAAAGAGCGUGUAGGCGGUUUGGUAGGUCCGCUGUGAAAACUCGAGCUCAACCUCGAGACGCCGGUGGAAACCAUCAGACUAGAGUCCGGAAGAGGAGAGUGGAAUUCCUGGUGUAGCGGUGGAAUGCGCAGAUAUCAGGAGGAACACCAAUAGCGAAGGCAGCUCGCUGGGACGUUUACUGACACUGAGGCGCGAAAGCGUGGGGAGCGAACAGG
RNAcentral lists this ribosomal RNA (253 nucleotides) under uncultured bacterium. RNAcentral's name for it is "partial 16S ribosomal RNA". It matches the Rfam family "Bacterial small subunit ribosomal RNA", at positions 524 to 776 of the family's 1533-position model. The record is from RNAcentral.